Molecule: ribosomal RNA, 467 nt
Filed under: uncultured bacterium
Lineage: Bacteria
Description: partial 16S ribosomal RNA
Rfam family: Bacterial small subunit ribosomal RNA
Source: RNAcentral
GACGAACGCUGGCGGCGUGCUUAACACAUGCAAGUCGAACGGAAAGGCCCUGCUUUUGUGGGGUGCUCGAGUGGCGAACGGGUGAGUAACACGUGAGUAACCUGCCCUUGACUUUGGGAUAACUUCAGGAAACUGGGGCUAAUACCGGAUAGGAGCUCCGCUGCAUGGUGGGGGUUGGAAAGUUUCGGCGGUUGGGGAUGGACUCGCGGCUUAUCAGCUUGUUGGUGGGGUAGUGGCUUACCAAGGCUUUGACGGGUAGCCGGCCUGAGAGGGUGACCGGCCACAUUGGGACUGAGAUACGGCCCAGACUCCUACGGGAGGCAGCAGUGGGGAAUAUUGCACAAUGGGCGGAAGCCUGAUGCAGCAACGCCGCGUGCGGGAUGACGGCCUUCGGGUUGUAAACCGCUUUCGCCUGUGACGAAGCGUGAGUGACGGUAAUGGGUAAAGAAGCACCGGCUAACUACGUG